GGGGCUGUAGCUCAGCGGCUGAGUGCUUGCCUAGCAUGCAUGAGGCACUGGGUUUGAUCCUCAGCACCACA
RNAcentral lists this transfer RNA (71 nucleotides) under Marmota monax (woodchuck). RNAcentral describes it as "tRNA.Ala". It matches the Rfam family "tRNA". Rfam says of the family: Transfer RNA (tRNA) molecules are approximately 80 nucleotides in length. Their secondary structure includes four short double-helical elements and three loops (D, anti-codon, and T loops). Further hydrogen bonds mediate the characteristic L-shaped molecular structure. tRNAs have two regions of fundamental functional importance: the anti-codon, which is responsible for specific mRNA codon recognition, and the 3' end, to which the tRNAs corresponding amino acid is attached (by aminoacyl-tRNA synthetases). tRNAs cope with the degeneracy of the genetic code in two manners: having more than one tRNA (with a specific anti-codon) for a particular amino acid; and 'wobble' base-pairing, i.e. permitting non-standard base-pairing at the 3rd anti-codon position. The record is from RNAcentral. Lineage: Eukaryota; Metazoa; Chordata; Mammalia; Rodentia; Sciuridae.